Molecule: ribosomal RNA, 465 nt
Filed under: uncultured bacterium
Lineage: Bacteria
Description: partial 16S ribosomal RNA
Rfam family: Bacterial small subunit ribosomal RNA
Source: RNAcentral
GACGAACGCUGGCGGCGUGCUUAACACAUGCAAGUCGAACGGAAAGGCCCCUUUCGGGGUACUCGGAUGGCGAAGGGGGGCGGAACACGUGCGUGACCUGCCCUUGACUACGGGACAACGUCAGGUAACUGGGGCCAAUACCGGAAAGGAAUCCUAGCUGCAUGGUGGGGGUUGGAUAGUGACAGCGGGUUUGGAUGGACUCGCGGCAUAUCGGCUUGCUGGAGGGGUAGUGGCUUACCGAGGCGGUGUCGGGAAGCCGGGCUGAGGGGGCGACCGGCCGCCUUGAGACUUACGUGCGGCCCCGACUCCUACGGGUGGCAGCUGUGGGAAAGAUUGACCGAUGAGCGGCGCCCUGAUGAAGCAACGCCGCGGGCGGGAAGACGGCCUUCGGGUUGUAAAACGCUUUCAGCAGGAGCGAAGCUUGUGGUGACGGUACCUGCAGAAGAAGCACCGGCUAACUACGUG